This 82-nucleotide non-coding RNA is filed under the name Dyadobacter chenhuakuii. RNAcentral's name for it is "partial 16S ribosomal RNA". It matches the Rfam family "Bacterial small subunit ribosomal RNA", at positions 1 to 82 of the family's 1533-position model. Lineage: Bacteria; Pseudomonadati; Bacteroidota; Cytophagia; Cytophagales; Spirosomataceae. The record is from RNAcentral.
ACAAUGGAGAGUUUGAUCCUGGCUCAGGAUGAACGCUAGCGGCAGGCUUAAUACAUGCAAGGCGAGGGGGCAGCAAUGUCAC